UGGGGAAUUUUUGGCAAUGGGCGCAAGCCUGACCAAGCAACGCCGCGUGGGUGAUGAAGUAUCUUGGUACGUAAAACCCUUUCGGCAGGGACGAACCUAAUGACGGUACCUGCGGAAGAAGCCCCGGCUAACUCCGUGCCAGCAGCCGCGGUAAUACGGGGGGGGCAAGCGUUGUUCGGAAUUACUGGGCGUAAAGGGCGCGUAGGCGGUUGGAUAAGUCAGCUGUGAAAACCACGGGCUUAACUCGUGGCCUGCAGUUGAGACUGUCUGGCUUGAGUGUGGGAGAGGAGAGUGGAAUUCCUGGUGUAGCGGUGAAAUGCGUAGAUAUCAGGAGGAACACCGGUGGCGAAGGCGGCUCUCUGGACCACAACUGACGCUGAGGCGCGAAAGCUAGGGGAGCAAAC
Molecule: ribosomal RNA, 404 nt
Filed under: uncultured bacterium
Lineage: Bacteria
Description: bacterial SSU rRNA
Rfam family: Bacterial small subunit ribosomal RNA
Source: RNAcentral